CACCUCGAGAGCACUUUGAAAAGACAUGUUCACUGUUGCUACAACAUCUAUUCCCACUUGCUUUGGUUUUGCAAUGAUUUUCCUGAAAAUUACAACAGCAUUUAAUACAUUAAUUUCACCUGGUAUGUAGCCCCUGGCCAAAGCCACAUUUCCCUUCCUCAUAUCCUCCAGAAAUGUGACCCAUGAAUUCUUCCAUUGGAAGAGUUCUCCCGUUUCUGGACAAUGGAAAGUAAAGCUUACCUAUUUCUUUCUGCUGCUUUCCUGUGAAGAAAAGAAAGAAAUGCAAAUAAGUUAGAAACUCAUCCCCUCCAGCAAGCACUGAUGGACCUCCAGGAGGAAACUGGGGACAAUGGAAAAUAAAGCUUACCUAUUUCUUUCUGCUGCUUUCCUGUGAAGAAAAAAAGAAAUGCAAAUAAUUUAGAAACUCAUCCCCUCCAAAGAGCAUUGAUGGACCCCCAGCAGGAGUUACACCCCCCCCAGGGCAGAAGGGCCACGGGGCCUGGACGAGCUGCAGCGCCCGCACGACCCAGCGGCCCCAUCUCCUGCCAGGGAGAAAGAGAGGAUUUCAGUUCCCUUUAUUCCUCUGCAUCAUCUCCCAUCAGAGAGAUCUUCCGAAGGAAAGGAGGCCCUGCCAGGCCCCCCAAACUGCCAGGGAUUCUUUGCAGGUCAAGGCAAAUUCUUGCUCCAUUUCUGUGCUGGGGCAGAGGAGCAGCUGAUGCUGCUUUAAUGCCAACUUCCUGCCUUGCCUUCUUCUGGGAGAACAAAGCUUUCUUUUCUUGACAGAAGAUAAGACCAUUGGGUUUUUAAGUUCCCUGGCACCAAACAUGUGCCUGAGACACCAGGACUAGACUCUGGUUCCAUCCUGGUGUUUCUCAACCCCCUCAUCCCUCAGGACUAGAGGUGGCUGAGUAGGAUGGCUGCCCAGCCCCUCCCCCAGCCCCCAAACCCAGGAUGGUACCUUUAAUUUUAAAUAGGUAAACAGUGAUAAUAAGGAGAGCAGCCACAGCAACCAGGACCACGCCCAGGGCAAUCCUCCAAGGAU
This is a long non-coding RNA of Pseudopipra pipra, 1042 nucleotides long. RefSeq lists it as uncharacterized. Lineage: Eukaryota; Metazoa; Chordata; Aves; Passeriformes; Pipridae. The transcript has 2 exons. The record is from RefSeq and is a predicted model, not a curated record.